UUGUUAUGGACAUCACCAUGAAAAAAAAAUACCCACUAGGUUUCUGCCUACCUUUCUAGUGAUUAGCCUAUUGGGAACAUUU
This 82-nucleotide small nucleolar RNA is filed under the name Microtus ochrogaster (prairie vole). RNAcentral's name for it is "Small nucleolar RNA SNORA32 (ENSMOCG00000010146.1)". The record is from RNAcentral. Lineage: Eukaryota; Metazoa; Chordata; Mammalia; Rodentia; Cricetidae.